CAUUAUUACAGAUUGCCGGCUGCGCUACAUUGAUAAUUCAUGAUCAAGGCUUCCGCCACUUAUUAUCGCGUAUACGGCUUCGGCCUUAUAUUACUAUAUUGUGGCUGCAUAGACGGUAGCGCUUACCGUUAGGGCAUACUAUAGCUUCAUCCUAGCAAGUCAUGAAUAGAUCCUUCCGUGCGGAGACCAGGAGCAGAACAAAGGAUGAUGGCAAGCGUUUUAUGCAUACUGUGGACAAAGUUCGUAAAUGGGAGAAGAAGUGGGUGGCAGUCAGUGAUACAACAAUGAGGAUCUACAAAUGGGUCCCAGUUUCUGUUGAGAAGCGAAAGAAGAUGAAAUCAUUGGCAAACAAAGAAAAUCAGAAUCAGGGUGGAAAGACUAUUGAGACACCCAGUCCAUCAUUUCUGGGAGAAGAUUCAAACACAGGUUUCUCGGUCACUUCAGACUCAAUGGACACGGACUUCCAGCAGAUCAACUUCUCCGAGGACUCAAACUCGCAGUCAAUGUCCGCACCUGGCGCCACCAAGCGGCCGUAGCUAAAACGACUGUGGUCUCAGGAAGCAGGAAGCGGAGUCGGCCAUCGCCUUCGCGGAAGUUAUUGCUGUGCCUCCCGUCUGUUACUGCCUCCCACUGUAUGGCGAGACUCCUCCCGACGCUCGUGCGCUGUGCGUCAAUUCCGCUAUCAUGCGUCCUUGGAGGUGUGCAUGGGUGUGCUCCAUCCUCUGCAAUCAUGUUCUUUGUCGUCAUUGAGCUUAUGUGUCUACCAGGUAUGACCUAUGCGCUGUUUUGCGU
Molecule: long non-coding RNA, 792 nt
Organism: Pollicipes pollicipes
Lineage: Eukaryota; Metazoa; Arthropoda; Thecostraca; Pollicipedomorpha; Pollicipedidae
Exons: 3
Source: RefSeq, a predicted model, not a curated record